UUUCCGUAGGUGAACCUGCGGAAGGAUCAUUAAAAAUGAAGCCGGGAAACCGGUCCUUCUAACCCUUGAUUAUCUUAAUUUGUUGCUUUGGUGGGCCGCGCAAGCACCGGCUUCGGCUGGAUCGUGCCCGCCAGAGGACACAACUCUGUAUCAAAUGUCGUCAGAGUACUAUAAAAUAGUUAAAACUUUCAACAACGGAUCUCUUGGUUCUG
RNAcentral lists this unclassified non-coding RNA (212 nucleotides) under plant metagenome. Its description in RNAcentral is "partial contains small subunit ribosomal RNA, internal transcribed spacer 1, and 5.8S ribosomal RNA". The record is from RNAcentral.